UCCGUAUCGAUAAGGUUGGUUCUAUUCGAGAUGUGGCCACGUCCGGGACGCUUGGUACACAACAAAUCUCGUGCUGUCGUCUCCUUCUGUCCGGUCUCUCGCCUCCCCUCGCCUCCAUCCCAUCGCAGACAAGCCGACGAGAGAAGAAUUUUUGCUAUUUUUACUCGCCACCUCCACUCUUCGCUAUACAUCUCGUAUACCGAACCGACAUUCUGGAGCAGAUCAAGACGAAAAUGGGGAAGACCAACAAGGCCAAGAACGAUUCUAGCAGGUCUCUAUUCCGUAGCAAACAGCAGAGAGAUCCGUGCAUAAGCAAGUUACAACUCUCUUUACUGAACAGCGGCUUACUCAACGUGUCCGACGGUGACAAAGCCACGAACCUCAUACCACAGAAGCCCAUAGAAUUGCAUAAAUUCCCUAAACACGUUGAAAAUUUAAGAAAAUAUGACAUACUCUUAAAAACGGAAUUCCAGGUUUCUACUAAAGGUGAAUCCCAUAGUGUUCGCCAUGCACUUAAACCAGGCAACGAAUUAAAAAACAGCUACAAAAAGCUAAUUCCAUUUGAUUUUAAUAGAGUAGUUUUGGAAACUAUCCACGGAGUUCCAGACUCGGAUUAUGUAAAUGCCUCGUAUAUUGACAGUAUUGUUAAGCCAAACGCCUACAUAGCAGCUCAAGGACCAAAUGAAUAUACCAUUGCUGACUUUUGGAGGAUGGUUUGGGAACAAAAUUCUUACGUUAUUGUUAUGUUGACCAAAGUAUUUGACUUUAUUAGAGUUAUGUGUGUUCAAUAUUGGCCUAGCGAAAUCAAUCAAUCGGAAUCGUACGGUGAUUUAGAGACGAUAUUACUAUCCGAAGAAAUGUUAGCCAACUUUCUUAUUAGAACCAUCAGGUUAAGAAAAGGUGACGAAGUGAGAGACAUUACUCAAUUACACUAUACCAAUUGGCCCUCUCACACUUGCCCAUUUUCCAGUGCUUUAUUGGAGUUUAGACGUAGAGUCAGGAUUUAUAUGAGUUACCCUCCUAACUCGGGUCCUACUAUCGUCCAUUGUAGUGACGGUUGUGGUCGUACAGGAACUUAUCUUUGUAUCGAUGCUAAUCUAGAAUUAGCCGAAGAAGACAACGUAUACGAUGCAUUCGGUUAUACCAAAAAGUUAAGACAAUCCAGAAGAGGAAUGGUAGAAAACGUGGAUCAUUAUAGAUUUAUCCACGAAACGUUGGAAGAAGCUCACGUGUGCGGUAUCACUUGGUUUCCCGUCACCCAAAUUUCUCAACAACUCAAGCACAAAUCAAUGAAGAAUCCUAUAACCAAACAAAACGAAUACCAGAGAGAAUAUGAGUGUUUGAAAAUAUGCAAAAUGGCCUCCAAGUUGUCGAUUGGUGAUUGCGCCGGAGGACAUCGACCCGAAAACAGAGAAAAGAACAGAGAUGUUGCAAUUGUACCACCUGAUAAUUUUCGGCCAUAUUUAACGUCCUUUCAAAGUAACGAUAACACCGAUUAUAUCAAUGCAGUCUUCGUCGAUGGUUAUACCAGACCAAAGGAAUACAUCGUGACGGAGUGGCCUUUACAGAAAACCAUCGCGGAUUUUUGGUCGUUGGUGUACGAUCACGAAUGUAAUUCAGUCAUCGUCUUAUGCAGUCCAGUUCCUUGUAAUGCAUUUCCUCCGUUUUGGCCCACAGAGAGAGAGAAACGAAAAAAGUACGGACCCGUUUUCACGGUAGAACUGGUCUCCUAUAACCAUUAUCCCAAUAUCAAAACGUGGAUCUUCAAGAUUUUAAAGAAGAUAGUGUCGCUCACGGAACUGAUGGCCGGUGUCAAAGCCGAACCGAGAACGACUCAGUUGUUUCAACUGACGUGUUGGCCGGUAGGUCACAAAGUGCCUACGUCUACUAAUGCUUUAGUAGAAUUGAUGAACAUGGUAGAGAGAUGGAGGCAGAGAACGGAGUAUGGCCCGGUCGUGGUGUUAUCUGCGAAUGGAAGGAGUAGGGUAGGAGUGUAUUGUGCUGCAAAUGUAGCGACAGAGCAGGUUGUACAACACAGAGAAGUUGACAUUUUCCAAGCUGUGAAGACAGUCCGUCGCCAUAGACCUCAACUUGUCGAAAAUAUGCAGAAGUUAUAAUGUAGUCUGAAUCUAGAGAGAAUCCUUUUUACUUUUGAAGAGAAAUAUCAGAAUAACAUUAGACAUCACAGAAUAUAAGUACUGCUAUGAUUUGGUUCUGCACUAUAUUCUUCAUUAUCUUCAUAAAGAAUGAGAGAAGCCAAUUUUGAAUUGAUUUUAAAGUCCAACAAUAACAAAUUUAUUUUUUGAAGUUAAUUUCUAUUUGAAUGUUGGCAAAAAUAUUUUGUUUGUAACAAAUAUAAGUUGUAUUUCUUGCAGAAAUUUAACAUACAAAAAAACACAAUGCAUUUAUAAAAGAAAUCGUUAUAACACACAAGCAAGUCCUUAUUCAAAAAGUAUUAGAUAAUAUUUAUUAAUACUAUACUGUAAAAGAUUCAUUUAAAAAUUAACUAUAACGUGAAGAUAAGUUUUAAAUUUGGAAAUACAAUGUAUAGAUAUACAUCUAAUGAGUCAUUUAGAUUAAUCGAUUUCGAACAAGUUUUAACAUUAAUGCAGUAUUAUGCGGUAGACUCUUGGCUAUCGGGUUUGGAUCUAGCAACAUGUCCAAUAGUAGUAAGUAGAGAAAAAGACAAUUGCAAAAAUUUGUUAAGACAUACAACUAAAUAUUUUGCACCAGAUGGUACAAAUGUAGUGGCAAAUAGAUUUUGAUUUAUGACAAAAUGGUAUGUUACAAUGUAUAAAAAUGCAAAUGUUUUGCCGGCCAAGCAGCAACUGUCAGUUUGCUUAUCAAAGAUUGUCUUUCCCAUCUGUAAAGGAUAAUCAAGAGUCUACCAAUCAUCAUCCAAAAUGCAACUUUUCAGAUUCAUUAAUGGCAGACUAUUAACUUUUGGAUUAUCAAAAAUAUUUAUCUACUAAGAAAAAGUUAAAUUAUCAAUUGUAUUAUAUUGUAGAAAAAUAUAUAUAAAUGUGAAAAAUUAUAAACUAUUUUGAUGUAGUGAAAUUUUAAAACAUUUGAACUGUUUGAAUUACAUCUAUGCAUAUAAUAUACUGUUAUAAUGAAUUUGAAAGUUCUUUAUGCCAAAACAUAAAUUUUUAUAAGCCGUUGGCUAUUUAGUGUAGCAGAUGGUGAUGUGACAAAAAUCUGACUAGAACAUCCAAAAUUGCCUUUCUACAUGGCCACAAUCUGUCUACAAUGAAUCUUAAUGUCCAUUGGCAAGUAUUCACAUAGGCACAUUUCAAAGCAGCAAACUUAAUUAACAUCAAACCUGGAUUUGUCCAUGUUGUGCCAAAAAAAUCAAAUGAUAUUGGCACAUUGUCACCGCUGAGAGCAAUCUUAUAGGUGACUACAUUUUUCCAUGCCACAUGGAGUUUAUUUACCAAUAAGAAAACAAAGAAUUUUGUAUACUAAAAUCAUAUAUACUUCACAACUGAUAUGGAAGAAAAUUUGCAAAUUCUAUUUUAACUUAGAUGCAAAAAAAAAACUAAAAAUGGUGUGCCUUGACGUGCUAAACACCUUUUGUCAGAUUGCCAAAAAUUGCAGGGAAUUUUUAUCUGUGCAGAUAUUAAAGUUUUAGGAAAUAAAUGAAUAUUUUCAUACACACAGUAUGCAUCUAUCACACAUGGGAGCAGUUGAUUAUUUCUAUAUUCGAAUCAAUUAUUCCUUUUAUAUUAUACAAUACGUAUUACACUUCUAAUUACAGAGUGAGUGAAGCCAAAAUUUUAACGUUUGUAUCCGAUAGAUUAUUAUGAUUAUCAUCAAUUGCUAGAUUUAUAAUCAAAAUUCCAGUCUCAUCUUUAUAUAACCAGGGACCACUAAUAAUAUCCUGGUAUCUUUAAAAUUUCAAUUUUUUAAUUAUAUUCUCUCUCAAUGAAAGAGUAUAUUUAAAAAUGUAUGUAUACAAAAAUAUAUAUAUAUAUCUAUAUAAGUGAAUUAAUUUGUACAUUUGUGUAUAAAAUGCUUAAGUAAAUUUGUAAAUUAGAAAUGUGUUUGUGACAAUGAUUGUAAUUUGUGAUAGUAUGCCAUAUGCAAAAUUGUCAAAUGAAGCAAAAUAUAAUAUAGAAUUUUAUAUAAAAAAACAAUUAAAAAAAUUGUUGUUGUACAUAUCUUUCUAUAAGCUUUGUUACCAAUAAUAGAUGUAUUAUUAUAAUAUAACAAAUGCUGUUUGAUACUAUUAUAAAUGUAAUAAAUAAAAAUUAUAAUGAGUAAUCUGUACAGGUUUUUUUUAAAAAAAAAAUUAACAUUUCCAAAACGUAAUACAAGACAAAAUUUCCAAUAUUACUAAUGAGAUUUUUAUAUAAGACAAACCAACAAUAUACUGAAUGUAUAGUAGAAGUUCCUUAGUCCAGCAGCUACAGGACUAAAGUUGUGUCACAUUAUUGGAUAUAAUUGUAUUUUGCAAAAAAUUUGGUGGUAAGUUAUAUACAAUCUGAAUGUUGCAGUUAGUGUGUGCUGAUUCAAAAAUAUAGCCAUAUUUUAUAUGAUUGAUUAAAUAUGCUUAAACAAAUCAUAGUCUGAAAAGAUUGUUAAACUUGACUGAAUAAUCUCAGUCAUAUACUGUAAAAAUGUCAGUAAUCAUGUUAUUGAAUAUUUACAAUAUUUACAUUAUUAUUAUUACAAUAUGAAUGAAUUAUUUUCACACCACAUGCCCAAAAAACUCAAUUUGCAGAAUACU
Molecule: unclassified non-coding RNA, 4729 nt
Filed under: Centruroides sculpturatus (bark scorpion)
Lineage: Eukaryota; Metazoa; Arthropoda; Arachnida; Scorpiones; Buthidae
Description: receptor-type tyrosine-protein phosphatase mu-like, transcript variant X3
Source: RNAcentral